AUGGACGACAACACCAGCACGCUCAAGGCCCUCAUGGAGACAGUCCUCGCCCGCCUCGACGAGCAGAAGAUCGACAACGACAAGCGACUCGAAGUGCAGGCCGCCUUCAACGCGCAGGUUUCGCAAGAUCUGCUGGCGCUGUCUAAACAGGUGGAUCUCACCCAAGCCGACGUUGACGAGACGCGCAAGGCGCUCGAGAGGUCGCCGUCACCGCGCGGAUCGGGAUCGGCCACCGUCCUCAACCCGUCACCACCUCCACCCCCGCCGCCUCCUCUUCGUCCUCCACCGGCGCACCAACAACAACAGGGACCGCCGUCGUCUCCCCGCCUCGCAGAUCAGCGUCCGCCUCUGCUCCAAGUUCUGCUCCAGCAGCAGAACGAACCGCACCACCACCAACACCACGACAACUACAUCAAGCCACCCAAGCACGAGUUCCCGCGUUUCGAUGGCACUGCCCCGUACCUCUGGUUAGAUCGCUGCCGCACCUACUUCGACCUCUACCGCGUGCCGGCGUCCAGCUGGGUGACCAUGGCGACGUUGUACAUCGAGGGCCAGGCCGCUCACUGGCUGCAAGCAUUUUGUCAAACACAUGAUGGCCUGGGAUGGGAGGCGUUCUGCGCAGCAAUAAUCGAGGAGUUCAGCGCCAACGAGUUCAAGCUGGAGAUGCACAAGCUUCUUCAACUCCGACAGAGCGGCACCGUCAGCGAGUACCGCCAGGUGUUCGACAGCCACAUGUACCAUUUACUGGCGCUCAAUCCCUCGCUCUCCGCCAAGUUCUUCAUCACGCAGUUCCCGUUGGGACUCAAGGAUGAACUGCGUGCGGCCGUGCGUCUUCAAGCCCCCACAAGCAUCACGCGCGCGUCAAUCCUCACGCGCAUCCAGGAGGAGUUGAACGCGCCACGCGCGCGGCCACGACCACAACCGCAAGGCCGCCCUCCUCCAGCGCGCCCGGGCGCCGCGCCACGACAACAGCCCGACGACUACGAGCGCGAGCGCCAACUCAAGGAAUUUCGCCGCGCCAAUGGGCUCUGCUUCAAGUGCGGCGAUCGGUACAGCCGGGAGCACCGCUGCAAUCCGCAGGCCCAGCUACUCACAAUUCAAGUCGGCGCGUACGGGGAAGUGCUCACCGACGACGCCGUGCACGCGCUUGACUUACUCAACGCCCCAGACCCGGCAAUUCCUCCACCGGAGUGCUGCACCAUCUCCGCGCACGCACUGGACGGCUCCGAGGCGCCAAGUACCAUCCGCCUCCGAGCACUUGUGGACAACCAGGUCAUGUUGUUGAUGUUGGACUCCGGAAGCACCCACAACUUCGUCAACAAAUCCUUCAUGGAACGCGUCGGCGCUACCACGCAGGAGAUCGCAACGCUGGACAUGCAGGUGGCAAACGGCGAUUGCCUCACCUGUUCGUGGCAAGUUCCAGAGCUGAAGUGGUGGAUGCAAGGGCACACGUUCUCCACGCCCAUGUACAAGCUCGACACCGGCGCGUACGACGGCAUCCUCGGCAUGGACUGGCUCGCCAAGCACAGCCCGAUGACGUGCCACUGGCAGGACCAGUGCAUCUCCUUUGUCCAUGACGGCGAGAGGGUCACGUUGCAAGGUGUUUGA
Molecule: ribosomal RNA, 1608 nt
Filed under: Triticum aestivum (bread wheat)
Lineage: Eukaryota; Viridiplantae; Streptophyta; Magnoliopsida; Poales; Poaceae
Description: partial small subunit ribosomal RNA
Source: RNAcentral